UGGGGAAUCUUGCGCAAUGGGGGCAACCCUGAUGCAGCGACGCCGCGUGAGCGAUGAAGCCCUUCGGGGUGUAAAGCUCUUUCGGCAGGGAAGAUAAUGACGGUACCUGCAGAAUCAGCUGCGGCUAACUACGUGCCAGCAGCCGCGGUAAUACGUAGGCAGCGAGCGUUGUUCGGAGUUACUGGGCGUAAAGGGUGUGUAGGCGGUGCUCUAAGUGUGGUGUGAAAUCUCCCGGCUCAACUGGGAGGGUGCGCUACGAACUGGAGUGCUCGAGUGCGGGAUGGGAGAGUGGAAUUCCUGGUGUAGCGGUGAAAUGCGUAGAUAUCAGGAGGAACACCGGUGGUGUAGACGGCUCUCUGGACCGCAACUGACGCUGAGACACGAAAGCGUGGGUAGCAAACAGGAUUAGAUACCCCUGUAGUCCCUGAGCGGGCUGGCAAGGCGCAU
Molecule: ribosomal RNA, 447 nt
Filed under: uncultured bacterium
Lineage: Bacteria
Description: bacterial SSU rRNA
Rfam family: Bacterial small subunit ribosomal RNA
Source: RNAcentral